GAAUGGUAGGACGCUAAAAAGCUCACCUGUGCUAGUAUGAGUACUAUACACAAGCUCAUGUGAAAUGGCGUCAUUAUAGAUCCCCUUUAUAGAAUCUGAGAUUACACUACUUACUUGUGUUAACUCGUGGCCUCUUAUAGAGGCUGAUACAUGAUGAAAUGGGCCGCGCUUCCCGGGCUGGGAUAUGUAUAAAUAAAAAACCAAUGCCCUCGCUGCUCUAUGGAGAAUCAUAGUAUCUUGACGAAUCUCCUGGUCUUGUGCCCGUGAGGGUUCAUUCGAAUUUCUGCCCUACCGACUUUCCAUGGUAGGAUAGAGGCAUACCGUGGUUUUAAGGGUUAACGGGGAAUCAGGGAACAAUGCCUGAAAGCGAGCCUGAGAAACUGAUACCACAUCCAAGGAUGGCAGGAAGGGCGCAAGUUACCCAAUCCUGACACACGGAGGUAGUGACGAUAAAUAACUAUACGGGGCCUAUUAGGCCUCGUCAAUUGGAAGGACAACAAUUUAUACACCGUAACGAGCAACACUUAGAGCGCAUGUCUGGUGCCACCGGCCGCGGCAAUUCCAGCUCUGAUAGUAUAUAUUAACGAUGUUGCAGUUGAUAAGCUCAAAAAGCUCAGC
Molecule: ribosomal RNA, 618 nt
Filed under: Blastocystis sp.
Lineage: Eukaryota; Bigyra; Opalinata; Blastocystidae
Description: SSU rRNA
Rfam family: Eukaryotic small subunit ribosomal RNA
Source: RNAcentral